GGGGUUGUAGCUCAGUUGGUAGAGCGUCUCGUUCGCAACGAGAAAGUCGGGAGUUCGAUUCUCCUCUUCUCCACCA
RNAcentral lists this transfer RNA (76 nucleotides) under Candidatus Cloacimonadota bacterium. RNAcentral's name for it is "tRNA-Ala". It matches the Rfam family "tRNA". From Rfam's summary of the family: Transfer RNA (tRNA) molecules are approximately 80 nucleotides in length. Their secondary structure includes four short double-helical elements and three loops (D, anti-codon, and T loops). Further hydrogen bonds mediate the characteristic L-shaped molecular structure. tRNAs have two regions of fundamental functional importance: the anti-codon, which is responsible for specific mRNA codon recognition, and the 3' end, to which the tRNAs corresponding amino acid is attached (by aminoacyl-tRNA synthetases). tRNAs cope with the degeneracy of the genetic code in two manners: having more than one tRNA (with a specific anti-codon) for a particular amino acid; and 'wobble' base-pairing, i.e. permitting non-standard base-pairing at the 3rd anti-codon position. Lineage: Bacteria; Pseudomonadati; Candidatus Cloacimonadota. The record is from RNAcentral.